UCUGCCCCAUGUGGGACACAGCUCUCAGCUGUCCCCAGACAUCCCACAAAGCUCAUUCUUUUCCUGGCCCCCAUCUCCACGGAGCCUCCCACCCUGGUCCAGCACUGGCCAUCACCGAUUUGCUGCAUUUUGGGAACCUCCAGGGAGCACAAAGGUGGUUGAACCAGGCUGGGAAGCAGCCCUGAUGCCAUGCAGCUCAGCAGUCUGCAUCUGGGAGCUACGUACUUUGUACCUUCCUCGCCGCCACCUGCGACACAGCCACAGAGCUGCAGUGUGCACUCUGCCAGCACAGGAGGAUGUACAGGACCACAUCUCCCAUGGAGAGGACAGGGUCCUGCCACCAGUUCCCCCAAUGGCGCUAAGAAUUUUUCUGAACCGACUCGUAUUCAUAAAUACGGCCCUCCAAUCCCUCUUGCAAGACAGAACCAACCCUAAUUAGAACGGUGAGCCCUCACCAUCUUUUCCUCAUCAUGCAGUUCCCAUAAAACUGCUCCAGAAGAGGAAGGUUUUGGCCAACCCCUCCCCCAGCAAGCAACAGGGAGUGUUCCCAACCGGCUGUCACAAUUAGAAUAAAGAGAAACUCCGUUGGAUUGUGGGGCUCAGGGGCUGAUUUCCAAGAAAAGGCCAAAGGGCUCAGAAUCAAGCAAUUGGCAUGGGGUCCUUGGGCACCUCCAGAGACUGGGAGCAUGGCUGGGUGCUGCUGUACAGUCAAUGGCCCAGGGCCAACUAUGAAUUCCUUUCUUCAAGCAGACACAUUUAUGGAAUGAUUGAAUGAGUUUGGUUCUGGGUGGAAGUGGAGGUGGUUGAGGCCUUCCACUGAGGGCAGAGAACCAAUGCACAGUGCUAUGAGGUGCCCAGCUUUGUGCUGCAGUUCACAGAGCCAUAGAACCAUUAAGUUAGAAGGAACACUUACAGGCCAUCUGAUCCAACUCCCUGCACUGAACAGGGACACCUACAGCUCCAUCAGGUGCUCAGAGCCCCAUACGAACACCUUGAGCGUCUCCAGGGAUGGAGCAUCCACCACAUCUCUAGGCAUUGAGGCUCCACAGCUCAAAUACUUCACCGGAUAUUUUCUUUACUGUGCUGCCAUUGCCAUUCAUGAACAACCCUGAGCUUAGCUACAGUCAUAAAGAGCAUUCACUGAAUGGAAAAAAAUCAUUAAAAAUUGUGGUCUCUUCCUGGACAACUCGGCA
Long non-coding RNA from Meleagris gallopavo (turkey), 1193 nucleotides. RefSeq lists it as uncharacterized. Lineage: Eukaryota; Metazoa; Chordata; Aves; Galliformes; Phasianidae. The record is from RefSeq and is a predicted model, not a curated record.